CCCUUAGAUGUCCGGGGCCGCACGCGCGCUACACUGAAGGAAUCAGCGUGUUUACGCUCCUGCGCCGAAAGGCGUGGGUAAUCCGCUGAAACUCCUUCGUGAUAGGGAUUGAGCUUUGUAAUUUUCGCUCAUGAACGAGGAAUUCCCAGUAAGCGCGAGUCAUCAGCUCGCGUUGAUUACGUCCCUGCCCUUUGUACACACCGCCCGUCGCUCCUACCGAUUGAAUGGUCCGGUGAAGCGUUCGGACCGUGGCCUUUGGACGGUUCGCCGUCUGUUGGCUGCGGGAAGUUCGUUAAACCUUAUCAUUUAGAGGAAGGAGAAGUCGUAACA
Molecule: ribosomal RNA, 330 nt
Filed under: uncultured eukaryote
Lineage: Eukaryota
Description: partial 18S ribosomal RNA
Rfam family: Eukaryotic small subunit ribosomal RNA
Source: RNAcentral